RNAcentral lists this long non-coding RNA (1152 nucleotides) under Homo sapiens (human). The record is from RNAcentral. Lineage: Eukaryota; Metazoa; Chordata; Mammalia; Primates; Hominidae.
GUAUUUCCGCGGGCGCUGAGCACUAGAGAGAGCGUCUUGUGGCUGCGGCCUGCCCCUCAGCCUCCUCCGCGCGGUUACCCCUGUACCCGCCGCCAUCCGUCCUGGCGCUCCGGAUGAGUCAAUGAGGGGCAGGGCCCGAGGAGUGGUCUUCCCAAGAACCCCUGGUGGCCUCCCAAGGCCGGUGCUGUGUACCUCCUCCCCGACAAAAGGGGAAACUGAGGCCCCGAGGGGAGUGGGAAGAGCCGGCUGGACGUCAGGCCCAGCCGCUGGUGCAGUGGUCCGUCCCCUCUGCCGGGGUGGGCCCCUCGGGUUUCGCGUGUCCUCGGGAAAGAGACUGGCGGGUGAGCCGCGCCCUCGGCCUUCGCUGGGCUAAGCCGACCCCAUGCAGACGUCAAACCCCCCUAGGCCUCGUGGGCUGUGCGGCUAUCCUGGAGACAGAUGACAGCUCUCCCUUGGAUGGCUUUGCUGGUUCCGCACCAGCCAGCGCCCCCAUUUUUCCUGCAGCACCCUGAUCUGCACUCCCUGAGGGGCUCCCACUGUCCGCGGUGUGAGGAUGUCCCUGGAUAGUCCACUGUGUGCAGAGGCAUGGGAGUUGUCAUGUUGGGAACAUGCUAGACCUCAGUAUCCUUGAGGGAUGCUGCCUUGGGUCUGGAAACUGUUAGAGGAAACCCCAAGAGGUGCAGGCACUGAGCCUCUCAGGACAAUGACCUGGGGUCCCAGCUCCCCUGGAGGGGCCUCCUCAUGAUUGUUUGGGGGUUGAUCACAGACCAAGAGUGACGAGUGAUGUCACCCUGUGACUCAUGGCUGGACCUUCUUGCCCCUAUUGUCUCAGCACAACAUUAUUCGACUUUUCCCUCAGCGUGGGUGGGCAGAGGAAAAGCCCUGUGGCUCUGGGGACUUGGGAUCCAGAGUUGAAGACCCUUCAGCUGGCUCUGCCCUGCCAGUGCCACAGAGUGCCAUGGCCCAGGAAGACAGGUUUUCUUCCAUCUAGGCCAGGCCAUCCAGUGGCCAUCCUCCGUGUCCUCCCGCCUCCUCCUGGUGUGACUUCUGAAAACCAAGAAUUUGUUCCUGUUGACUUUUUCUGUGCUAUGGACCAUUGUCCUCUCACCCACUCAAUAAAUCUUGAAACAUGCCCUGCUGCUUGUUCUUUCA